Mesocricetus auratus (golden hamster) is the source of this 11068-nucleotide long non-coding RNA. RefSeq lists it as uncharacterized. Lineage: Eukaryota; Metazoa; Chordata; Mammalia; Rodentia; Cricetidae. The transcript has 3 exons. The record is from RefSeq and is a predicted model, not a curated record.
AUGAAAGAGCAUGUUCAAUGACUACAGUGUGGAUAUUCAUUUUCGACUAGAUUGAAUUGUCCUAUAUUGCUAGCAUCCUGUAGUUGAAACAGCCACCUUCGUUUUCAUUUUUCCCCUUCAUCUCCUCUUAUUGCUUUAUUCUUUGUAUGCUUUAAGGGGCAAUGGUAUCUCCCAGCAUAUGCCGAUUUUGUUUGUUUGUUUGUUUGUUUGUUUUAAUUCCUUUGAAGAGAAAGACUGAAAACUGUAAUGGGGUUACAGAGAAUUGUGUCUCUGUUGGUUCUUUCAUUUUCUCAUGACUCUGAAAUUUAAUGACCUAAUCAUUGUUGUUUGAAGUUAAAUUAUCUGUUAAAUUAGCCCUAAACAAUAACUGAUGAUAUUUUCCUUUUGGGUCUGGUUUCCCCUGAAUUCUUGGCCCUACAUGGGUAUGACAGGAGUCAAGGAUUUUUUUUUUCGGAUUGUGCACUAUUAUGAGACUAACCAGACUCAAGGCUUAUGUGCAGUGAUGUUAUGGAUGGGAUUUUUUUCAAGCUAUUUGGGCUUUAUAAAUUGGAAAUUCUUUUUAGAACAUGUGCUUGAGCAUGGAUGUGAAUGAGCACCUCUGUAGAUGAAAAAUACGAACACAAUUCUCAUUACUGUCUGAAGGCCAAUCCUGAAAAAGGGAUACACACCCUUGGCGGUUAAUAAUUUCUCACAAAGAAAAUUUAACUGUAGGGAAACCUGCGACAUCAUUUUAGAUGUAAAUUCUAGGCAUCUAAAGUAUAGCUACCUCUUUGAGUCUGACUUAUGUUCACUUUACAUUUAUGAUAAGAAACAGUCUUGAAAUAGUACAGAUUUCCCCCCUUAUUUCUCCUAUAAAGCUUAUGUAGGCUUAGGAGGAGGACUUUCAUGGGAUUUUGAGAGAUCAACACCCUUUUCCUUCACUAUAAAAGGUAGCUAAAGAAUUUUUAAACCAAUAGUAUUCAAGUAUCUGAGAAAACUUUGAAAAUAAGAAGUACUAUUGUGUUUGUCAUAUUAAAAUGUUCUGAAUGAAUAAUUAGAGACUGGGAUGAAGGCUGAGAAAUUCAGAACAAGAAUAAGGUGGUAAUUUUAUUAUUUAAUAAUACUUUGAUAAUUUCUAUAAUUAAUGAUGUGAUUUUAAAGGUUGGCAAAGCUUUCCUGAAAAAAAAAAAAGGGUACUCUGCCGACCUUAUCAAAAAUGUUCUGGAAACAAUUAAGUAGAAUCAGAUAAAAUUGACAGCAGGUAUUACUUGUUUCUUUAUUUAUCUAUUUUUUUCUGAAAAUAAAUACUGUUAAUUACGCAUGGCAAACUCUGAUUGCAGGUUGGAAGACUAAAAUUGAUCGUUUCUGCAUCAAUAGUGUUAUGUAUUGCUACAUUGAUUUGUGUUUAUUUAUGCAGAGCUUUCAGCUAUUUGCUUCCAUAUCUUCCAGGGUCCCUCUUUAUUUUUAUCACACAUUGCUUUUAAUGAAAGAGUUUAUUGUAGCAAGCAAAACAUAUGUAACCGGUCCAUCUUAGGUACACCUCAAAAGUGUACUUAAAUUCUGGGAGUGUGAGCAAGUUAUAAAAUUGUUUAUUCGUGCUUGCCUGUUAGCAAUUAGAAACUUGCUUCUGCUUAAAACCUCAUGCUGUUUGAAAGCUUCCAUUCCUUUCUUCACACAUUGCAUCAAUGUGUUUCGAUAAGGUAGAAAGCAUUAUUUAGUGAUCUUAGAUUUAAUAGAAUGAAACUCAUGAAUAAGAUAUAAUUUUUCAAUUGGCAUGGCUGGGUUAGCCUCAUGAAAAUAGACUAGCCACAAGGUUUUUAGCAGUGCUUUUUUAUGAAAAAUCAAGAAGGAAUAAUUUAAAUAUAGAUGUUGGACAUUUAUUUUAAACAUGCUAACUCAUAAAUAUCCAGGGGUCUUUAUGCAUAAGAAGCCAUUAUGGAUUCUCAUAUAUUAAAUAAUGGCACACACAUAUAUUCUAUUAGUGUGCAUGUGUUAUUGCAUGGUUUGAAGAUAGCCAUGCCACUUACACUGAUGCAGCACAUGGAUAGUAUAUACCAGGAGUCCUCUCAGCACAAAAUAGGAAAACCUGAUUCAGUGUGUUCCUGAUAAGUACAAGGCAGGAGUAAGGGAUGAGGAUAUCCAUAUUUGUGGUUCUCUGUUGCCAUGCCAAAAUAUUGAAAAAUUGCUUGAAGAAUUAAAAAAAAUGACCUACCUUAUUGAGGUCUAUUUAGUAUUUAAUCUGCAGGACUUUUCUCAGUCCUUCCUCUUUAAGAGUUGGGAGUACAACUACCAAAAGCAUACAGAAAUUUUAUUUUUCUUAUUCAUUUGUUAUACCCUUCGUGAAUGCAAGGUACACAGAAAACAAAUUUGUCCUAGAUAUCUUUUGAGACCAAAGAGUCCUUGGGAAAUGGAAUGGGAAUUCCUUUUUCCUCAGCAGUUGUCCAUGGUAAGAGGGCCAAAGGGAGAAGGUGGGCCAUUCUUGGUUCUAAAGUUUUGCAGAAAGUGGAAAGGGAAAGACAGCAGAGAGCUACUUUUAUUUGUUUCAUUUUUCCUUUCCUUGUCUAGUCUUUGAAGCUAGGGAGUGAAGUGGCUGUUGCGGAGCCAAAUGCUGUAAGCACUCUAAGGACGCUGAGGUUCCUUGCAUCCCAUGUUGAGCAGGACUUACCAGCCGAUGCACUCAUGAACUCCUCCCCUAGUCUUUCACGCAUGCACCAGCUAGUCCUCACGUGCGUGGUGUAGUGGACAGUGUUGACUUGAAUUGCUCUCUGGAUGCGAGCCUUUCCUGUGAAUGAACCCGAAAACACUCGACAGGUCGUGAAUAAUCGUUUUAAUGAGUGUGCAAAGUGUGCGACGGGGUGCACCGAGUUGUCGGGUUAAACAAACAACUUGUACUCUGACCAAAUCGGAUUGUUAAAGUGCAAAAUGAUGUCAGUACCAUUCCCACUGCCUUUCGGAAAUCCACAGAUCUGACACGCGGGAGUCCAAUUUUCCCCAUUAAAGAAAAAUAACAAUAUUUUUCAACUGUGUGAUCUUCUUUAAUAUUAGCCAGAGCCAAACAAAACCUCAUUUGAGAAUCACAGUUGUUUCUAACUGAAAAAGAAAAACAAAAAGAAGGAGAUACAAGGGGGAGAAAUAAGCACACAUGAGGAUUUCUGAGGGAGAACUUGUACUUCAUAUUUCACACAUCCUUGGUGAUCAAUAGUGUAGAAACUCUUCCUUCUGUUGCCUAUAUGCAAACGAUCGGGACUGUAGUUUAUUCCCACACUAAUACCGAGUGUGUACACCUGUGAAGGCUUUUCUGUUGAAAAAUUAUCUCAUAUUUAAUGUCUGCAUAUUAAUCAGUAUGAAUGUUUGGAGGAAAGUAAUAAAAAGGAAUGCUAAUGGGCCCCAUCUAAAACAAAGACAGAGAUCAGAGGUUCUCCAGAAUCACACUCCAGUCAAAAACAGUUUUGUUUCUCUGCCAUUCUUGACAAGAUCCACUUAAAGUCACCUUCAUGGACUCACUUGUUCUUUUUUGAAAUAUUAAAUAAGAAAAAAAAGUAAGCAUCAAAAUGUUUUUAAGAAGCAAAGUUCUUGGCACAUUUCUUCCAAAAUAAAAAGUUAGCAGAGCAGAGAUAUGUGUAAGAUAUUUCUUUCCCUUGCCAAUACCUUAGAUAUAUUCAUAUAUCAUAUGUAAUUUCUCUACCCCAUAAUGUUGUAUGGAGAUGAAGUUUGAUGUUUGUAUUGGAUUCAAGGUUAUGCAUUUCUUUAUUGAAGAUGGCAAGCUUGUCAUAGCCCACCGUUUUUAUAGUUAUCAGUUUGUAACAUUUCAAUCAGUAUGGAAAAAUGAAAUGUUAAAAGUGUAAUACUUAAGAAGACAUAAAUAAGAAGCUCCAAUUUGUUCACUUAACCCCUAAGUUGUUAGCUACAUAUCUAUAUGCCUGUUUUUCCAACCAUCUAUGUCACAUAUGUUUAUUUAUAACUAAUAGCAACUGUGUGACCUAAUUGACCUAAAACAGAGAGCUGAAAUACUUGACAAAGUAAGCAAUUCUUAGCUAACUCACUAUACUUUUGUUAUUAUAGUUACUGGUUUUUACACAUGUGUCAUUUUGGCCUGACCUGGAUAAAAUAAAGAUUCUAAAAUUCUGCUUCCAUAAUUAAUUUUUCAAAAGAUAAACAGGGGUUUGGUGAUUUUGCCUCAUUCAUAGCAAACUUCUGUACCAGACUGCCAAUUCAGAAUCUCCUUUGUUUUCAAAUGAAAUUUAACAAAAAUUGACAAUAUUUGGACUGUAGUUAUCUUCUCUGUGUGCUGCCCAACUGAAAGAAUCUUAGGAUCCACUGAAAGAAUGUAUCCAUUUUUUUAGAUGAACAAACAGCAAAGCUAGAGGGUGCGCCUGUUUUUAUGUGUGUAUGUGUGGUUAAAGAACUAUACUAUCAAAACAUUAAUUAUAUUUGAAAGAGCAGGAACUUGUAGAGAGAAUUGCAAUGUUGAGUUUACGUUCCAGAGUUUGCCUGAGAGGAAUGAAGUCAUCUCCUUGUCUUACAUGAUACUUCCUUUUCAGAGAACCACUUAAGAGAGCAAAAAGAUGACAAGGGCUGAUUUGCAGGGAAGAGAUCUCAUAUGCUAGGAUGGUCCUGAACACAGAGAAUCCAUGUGAAAAAUCUGAUGACAUGAGGGUCAUUCAUGGGAUCUUUGUUCUAUACUCAAUUUUUUAAAAAAUGUUUAACAAAUAUCACAGAUGAAUUUGGGAAAGAGAGUGGCUGGGUGACUAAAAAAUACCAGUUACCAGAUUCUUGACUCCAAACUCCUAGUUAUUUCACAGCUGCAAAAUUUAGUAUCCAAAAUUUAGAUUAUCUCCCUUCCAAAUCCUACAUCAGUAUGAAUCAUCCUGAUCAUUUAUAGUUUUUGGCUUAAUUACUAGUUUUUAGCUUUAAAUUACCAAUAAACUAAUUAAUCUGACUAAUCUUCUUAAACUUCUGGUGAAUAGUAUAAUAGCUAAAACAACAACAAAAAUGCAACAAUAAUGCUAAAUAAACUAUUAUUAAUAACAGUAUAAGUAACAGUAGCAGAAGUAACCUUAAAAUAAUUUUAAGGCCAACAGGAAGAAAACAGAACCUAUUUUAACCUGCAAUUUGUGUUUCGUAGCUGCACUUGGGAAUUCCUCCAGUUUCAUGUGUUGCUGAUUAACUAAAUGAUUCUUGUCCUGCUAAACUAAAGUUUCUAAAGAAAGACUCCCUUGGUCUACUGUAGUAGAAAGGCCCUUGUAAAUGUCAUUGAGUACUUUUGUAUUCAUGCUCCAUCAUGGCUAUAGACAUGUCCUCCUCAAGAUGCCAUUCUUAAAGCGGCCAGCUUAGGAGGGAAACUGGAACAGAGGUACACAUAUCAAGGUUUCUUGAGUACAGAGCUGGAGCACCUGCUGCCUAGAUUGCUUCUGGUUAGUAGGCAAGUCACCAUAUUGUUUUAAAAAGCUAAGGAAGUUGAGAAUGGCAGGGUUUUCAGUUUCCAGUGAAUAUAGGAAUAGACAGAUGUAAAGACAGUGAGGCUAAGGGAAAGGAUUUAUUGGUGGUAGACUUCCGUGGUAAUAGUCAAGCUAGGAAAACAAAACCAUUUCUUCAGGUACAAGAGAUGCUUCUAUGAAGUGUAUACGUGAUAGAUGGCUACUAGAUCCUGGGCCUAGAUGGGAAGAAUCUGUCAGUAGUUCUCUACCUGUAGUAAAGUCUCUCAGUCUAGCAUUCUCCUUGCCUCCUGAACACCUAUCCCCAUUUUGCCCCCACAAAAGGGAAGGGAAAUAAAGAUAAUAAGACUUAGAAGUUAUGGAGUUAGACUUGAGGUUUGUCAGGCAGAUGUUUAGCCCUGAAACAGGUGGUGUGUAAUUCCCUGCUUUUGUGAGGAAGAUAGAGAAGCUGGUUAGGAAAGGAAGGGCAGUUGUAGGAGAGAAGAACAGAGACUAAGUCAGAAAUUCCUUGUCAGUUCAGUACUUCUGGCCACAUGAAGAGAGAUCUUAGCAACCAGAUAGUUUGGGAUAAGAGGUGGGUAACCUUACUGCACUGAUGUGGCCCCAGACCCAGAACGCAGAACCUGCACUCUUGAAAAGGUAAAAAAAAAAUGUACCUAUCAGUAUCCAGUGUGUGCUCUGGAAACUGUGUGCUCAGUUCUCACCCACCUUGGUAAGACUGCAGCGGGAGGUGGCUCUGGCUUUACAUAGGUAUUGAUCUAUACUUCAGUGGCACCCCAGCAUUUCUUCAUGCUUGGAGUUGAAUAGCUCUCACUAAGUUCACCCCAAUCUUCUGCAAACAUACUUCUGCCAAACUUAAAAUCAAAAGAGGAGCAUCCCAUAUUCAACUUAAUUGUAAACAAAAUAAUAUUUUAAGGAAGAUAUUCUGUUUGUGUGAUUCUUGUUUGAAUUAUUUCUUUUAUUAAGAAACAAACUACCAUUUAUUUCAGUAAGAAAAUUAAGGGAAGUCAGCAUCACUUGAAAACAUGACUCCCAAUUCUGUCCCAUGCAUUCCCAAAAUAUGGCUUUGGGGAAAUUUAUUUUCUAAUCCUUUGUAUUUUAUUUUAUAUGACUGAGACCUUCAGAGCCAAUACAGACAAAAACAGCCAAGAGAAACUACAUUUAGUGAUUCUGUAGUGAUGAAAUUUGAUGUAAAUAAAAGCUGAAAGCAAUUAUUUCCCAGUAUUUAUAGCUAUGCAGAAACUCUUGGGCCUGUGAAAUUUAAAAACCCAUUUAAUUAAGAUAAUAAUUUCUGUAGCCUAAUAUUUGAAUAAAUCUUUAGCCAACAGAAACUAUAUAUUUAUAUGCUUUUUCAUGUACAACAUGUAUGUCAAGCUGAUGUAUCAAUAAUAUUUGUUCUAUGAAAACUAAAAAUCAAAUAAAUAUUAGCAUUUCAGUACAAGUAAUUGAGAUUUACUUGAAAUCUGCAGGUACUGAAGGAAAUCACUGAAGAUGCCUGUUUGUAUUGAGAGCAAAUAAAGACUUUCUUUCUAUAUUGGGAUAUGGAGGAGUGAGGAAUUAGAAUUUCCUGUAAUGAAGUGUCUCUUUUAGCCAGCAAGCCAAUACAUACAAAUAUCAUCCAUUAUCCACAGUCUAUUCAAUGAAAGGAACAUACGUUUUCACAAGCAGAAGUAAGUCCACGUGAAAAGGAACACAAAUGAUGCUAACAGUUUUUCUCAACACAAUUUUUUUUUCAGGGAAGAUUGCAAUCAGCUCUGUUGAACUAGUAGCAAAAGCAAACAACUGGGCUAUGUUGUGGGGAUUUAGUGGACUCGUGGGCUGAAUGUUUGUGGAGAACAGCAUUACUGUGAGUGAGGUUAUGCAAUUCUUUCACUCUUGAAGACAACUGAGUCUCAGUGGUGUCUAUGUGCGAGCAUUUUAGUUACUGCUAACUACAGUAGAAUAGGAAAGAUUUUCACGACUCAAGAGUAUAUGGAAACAUCUAUCUAUCCUCGAAUGUUUAUUGUAUUUUAUUCCCGUUUCUAAAACAUACUCUUCAUUAGGCUGUGACUUGCAGUCCUGGCUUCACAGCCCGCAGCCAGCUUUCAGCGAAGUGUGGUUCCGUGUAUCAGUGCAGUUAAAGACAAAAGGAUGACCAGGAAAACCCAACUUCUCACCCUAUCAAUGGAAUUCUCAUUGGCAGACAGAAUAGGAAAAGGGAAGCUCCGAAAUAGGGUCCUAGGAAUACAGUAAUUUUCCUUAGGUGAGCUUUGGAAAGACACUAAGUGAAAUACUGUUUAGGCGUUGGUGUUAAUCGCGCAGCUUACAUACAAAUGUGCCGGAAAUCAUGCUCUGUGCAAAUGAAAAUGAAGGAAUUUUAUGCAUAUUCUAAUUCUCCCUCUUUGGCUGCUAUUUUGGAGGAAAAGAUUUCUUUUGCUGAUGGUGGGACUUUUUUUGUUCUGCACAGGAAAUGUGUAAAUGAACACAUCACCCCCCCCACACACACGUCCCGUUUUUCCUUCCCACUUUCCUCCUCCACUCCCCCCCCCCUUUGUCAACAACCACUACAUAGUUAGGGUACGCAGUUAGGCCGCUGAUCCCUGACUGCUUUCCAUUUCCAGGAUUAGAGGGAACAGGUUCACAGCCAGGCCCCGGAUUUAUUGCUUCUCUGGAUCUUCAGGCCCUUGGGAAUCAAAGUAAAGUUUCUAUGGCACGGAGGAAAAGGUUGAGAUUAAAAAGCGCGGCGCUGCUGCGCUCUGCGGUGCUCCGGGAAGGAGAGCAGGGACACGUCGGCAGGACCCGGCCUCUGCGCUCCCCUCGCGGCAGCUGGGAUGCUUCCAGGCCGGUUGGCGCUCGGCUGCCCGGGCCAAUCAUCUCCCCGUCCCAUCUCCCCGAGCUCGGACGCGGCUCGCCAGCGCGGCUGGCGGUUGCCUGUGAAGGAAAUGCCCAGAGAGGCUCGGCACCGAGGAGCGGCCGGCAAAGACCAGAGGAGUCAGUCUGCUGUAGGCCCCUGGCCUGUAGACCUCCCGCCCUCUAGCCAGUCGCCUAGCGGGUCCCCACCUCCUCCGCAGUCCCUCACUGGACCCCCAGCAAGCUCCUUCCCUGGUCUGGGGGUUCGCUCCCCGCUCUCCUUUCACGCCAGUCACGUGGUAGAAGGAUGGCUCCGACGCUAGGUGACAUCUCCCUCCUGCCUGGUGAUGUCUUAACCUUUCUCUUUAUUUUCAUUUCUCUUUAAACGCCUUCACUUCUUAAAUUUGGAGGCAGAAGGAGCUAAGGGCCGAAAGAAAAGGCCCAAUGAAAAGGAAAUCAUUUCUGGCUUUUCAGACAUUUCCACUUGCCCCUUUCCGCACCGCUGGCACAGAGUCACACCAGAAACUGGGGUUGGGACCUCUCCCUCCAGGGCCUAGACUAGUGUCUGUCUGCACUUAGCAGUGGUGCAGUAAAUGGCACUGUCACUGGAUAAAGCAUGGCUUUCUUAGGCUUGGAUCCCCUCAGGUCAGCUGACUUUGGCAUUGGAUAAUUUUUUUCCUUCUAAUCGACUAAAAGGCAAAUAAACACGUAUGUUUUAGAUUGGUGUUAUUUAUCUAGUUGAGCUCCACCCCCUUGUGGGGGGUGGUAAAGUUGAAGAAAAUAUUUUUUCGUGGUCUGAUUCAUAUAUAUGAGGUAACUACUGUGACUUGUAGAGCAUAGAAGUUAAUCCUUUUACGUUUUAUUGUCUUAAAAAAACUUUAGUUUUUUAAUAAAAGGUAAAGACCUUGCAAACGAAGUUAAUCCCUUGUAGAAAACUACAAGAUUUCUUACAUUCCCCUGCUACUUUAUUAUAAUUGAACACUUUUUAAAAACCUGAUUCGUUUCUUUGUUGCUGAGUCUUCUGAACCAUUCAACAAUUCUUAUCCUUUACAAAUUUUUUCUUUUUCUAAAUGUCAUAAACAUUUUUUUUUUACGAUCAAGGCAAACCAUGUUAGGUUUGUCAGACUCAAUUUAGUCAGUCUGUAUAUAUUGAAUACACAUUCGAGUGAGUAUCAUGAACUAUUCCCUAGGGAAUUUUAUGUCCCACUCUCAUUGAUUGUAAAAUAGUGAAAUUAUAUAACCAAUGAGCUAAUAACCAUGAAAGUAAUUUGAAAGGUUAUAAUUGCUAAUCAAAUGUAAAGCAUAUUUAUUAGCAUCAUUAUUAAAAGGUGCCAGAGGGAUACAGAUAAAACCUGUUCCUCUCCUCUGGGAACUUACAGUCUAGUUGGGCAUAAAUAAUGAAAUGUAAAUUGAUAGAAAGAGCUGCGAAGCAAUGGUGUCUGGCAUAUUGGAGACAGUCAGAAAAUGAUUGCCUCAUAUUAAUUUGUAGUUGUGCCAUUCUUUCAACAGAAACACAGUAUUCUACGUAAAGGGUAGAGGAAGGACAAUUAGGAAGACUUUCAUCGGGAGGAUGGAUUUGUCUUCCAUAAGUCACAUUGAGACUGGAAGCACACAAGCUUGUCUGUGUGUGAGGGCUGAAGAGGAAGGCUAAAGACUGAUGGAGGCGUGGGAAACCUCACAGAACCAUCACAACCGAGACGUACCUUACACAACUUAAAAAAUGUGUGCACGCGUGUGGGCAUGUGCAUGUGAUUGCCAGCAUCCGAGGAAGCCAGAGGUGUCAGAUCCCUCUGAAGUUGGGGUUACAAGCAGCUGUGAGUCACCUACAAACAACAGGGGCGCUGAGAACCUAACAAGGGUUCUCUGGAGGAGCAGAAUUUUUUUUUCUUAGCUGCUGGGCCAUUUCUUCAGGCCCUUGCUACUUACUUUUAAAUCAUUCUAGCUUAAGACCUAAUGCAGAGAAUAUAUGAACAAGAUAAGGUUUUGGUGGAAUUCUGGAACAUGAAGUUGGUAGAAAAAGAGUUAUCAUUACAAUGGUCACUGAGUCUCUUAACUCCAGUUGGUAUACAUUGGAAUACACAGAGACCUGCAGCACCCUAGAAUCGCUAUCAUGUGCCCAGUGGUGAUGGAGAUGAUAAGUAUUCAUGAGUGCUGAGAAAUCUUGAGAUGUCAACAUCACCAGCAAGGCUCAAGAUGUAUUUUACAUGUUUGAGGUGAUUUUCAACCAUGAAUGAGUUGCCGUUCUACUGUAUCGACCUUCUCUAGUCCUGGUUUUACCUAGAGAAAAUUUUAGUUAUAGCAACUACUGUGGGGGGAGCAUCGCUAGCAUCUUGUAGGUGGAGUUGUGGUAUGUUACUAAACACCCUAUGAUUCAUAGGUCAGUCCCCUACAAUCUCAAAUUCUUCUGUCCACCUUGUCAGUGGAACCCAGGCUAAAUGAUCUUCAGGCCUGGGAUAUUUUGGACAGCUCCACUACAAGUCUUUGGACCUAAACUUUAUUAUGAACUUCGUACAAGGAAGACUGGCAUGAUCAUCUACUUCACAUCAGAGGGUGUCUAACUGCCAGGGUACUGACACCAAGCAGAAAUUUCCAAGUUUAAAGAGUCACUCCAUGGACUCAUGACAUGUCCCUGGAGAAAAUUGCUUCAUCAUUCUGCAGACUAAAUAAAAAGUGAUCCCCAUCAGUACCCCCAGUUUCAGAACAAUUAGAACUAGAAUAACAUAGAACUGUAUGAUUGUUCAGAUGUCUUCCAUGCCUGAAUUCUUGGUUAUCUUCCUAUCUUCUAGUUUCACAAAUAAAAAUAAUAUAAUAAAUGAAUAAAGCAA